UACGUAGGGUGCAAGCGUUAAUCGGAAUUACUGGGCGUAAAGCGUGCGCAGGCGGUUAUAUAAGACAGUUGUGAAAUCCCCGGGCUCAACCUGGGAACUGCAUCUGUGACUGUAUAGCUAGAGUACGGUAGAGGGGGAUGGAAUUCCGCGUGUAGCAGUGAAAUGCGUAGAUAUGCGGAGGAACACCGAUGGCGAAGGCAAUCCCCUGGACCUGAUAC
Molecule: ribosomal RNA, 218 nt
Filed under: uncultured bacterium
Lineage: Bacteria
Description: partial 16S ribosomal RNA
Rfam family: Bacterial small subunit ribosomal RNA
Source: RNAcentral